AGUGGACGCUGGCGGUAGGCCUAACACAUGCAAGUCGUACGGCAGCACAGUAAGAGCUUGCUCUUACGGGUGGCGAGUGGCGGACGGGUGAGGAAUACAUCGGAAUCUACUUUUUCGUGGGGGAUAACGUAGGGAAACUUACGCUAAUACCGCAUACGACCUACGGGUGAAAGCAGGGGAUCUUCGGACCUUGCGCGAUUGAAUGAGCCGAUGUCGGAUUAGCUAGUUGGCGGGGUAAAGGCCCACCAAGGCGACGAUCCGUAGCUGGUCUGAGAGGAUGAUCAGCCACACUGGAACUGAGACACGGUCCAGACUCCUACGGGAGGCAGCAGUGGGGAAUAUUGGACAAUGGGCGCAAGCCUGAUCCAGCCAUACCGCGUGGGUGAAGAAGGCCUUCGGGUUGUAAAGCCCUUUUGUUGGGAAAGAAAAGCAGCAGGUUAAUACCCCGCUGUUCUGACGGUACCCAAAGAAUAAGCACCGGCUAACUUCGUG
Molecule: ribosomal RNA, 492 nt
Filed under: uncultured bacterium
Lineage: Bacteria
Description: partial 16S ribosomal RNA
Rfam family: Bacterial small subunit ribosomal RNA
Source: RNAcentral